AGCGGAGUAGAGCAGUUUGGUAUAGCUCACAAGGCUCAUAACCUUGAGGUCACGGGUUCGAUUCCAGUCUCCACAC
Oryza rufipogon (brownbeard rice) is the source of this 76-nucleotide transfer RNA. It matches the Rfam family "tRNA". Rfam says of the family: Transfer RNA (tRNA) molecules are approximately 80 nucleotides in length. Their secondary structure includes four short double-helical elements and three loops (D, anti-codon, and T loops). Further hydrogen bonds mediate the characteristic L-shaped molecular structure. tRNAs have two regions of fundamental functional importance: the anti-codon, which is responsible for specific mRNA codon recognition, and the 3' end, to which the tRNAs corresponding amino acid is attached (by aminoacyl-tRNA synthetases). tRNAs cope with the degeneracy of the genetic code in two manners: having more than one tRNA (with a specific anti-codon) for a particular amino acid; and 'wobble' base-pairing, i.e. permitting non-standard base-pairing at the 3rd anti-codon position. NCBI's taxonomy places the organism in Eukaryota, Viridiplantae, Streptophyta, Magnoliopsida, Poales, Poaceae. The record is from Rfam.